This is a long non-coding RNA of Rattus norvegicus (Norway rat), 388 nucleotides long. RefSeq lists it as uncharacterized. Lineage: Eukaryota; Metazoa; Chordata; Mammalia; Rodentia; Muridae. The record is from RefSeq and is a predicted model, not a curated record.
AGUCAGACCUGAGUGGGGAAAGGAAGUGUUGCUUGGGUGGUAACUGUUUUAAACUGUUUCACUGAAAAAAAAAAACUAAGCAAAGCAAUGCAUAGUAGCUAAGGGGUAAUGAAGUGUUAAACAUGUCUUUAAAGUGACACUCAGUAAUGGUGUAUACAAGAUUGGUGCUUUUCAAGAAGAUUAACAGCCUAAAAACCACAGGAAAAUAGAAAACACCAGGAUAAUCUAAAUGGUCUCCAUGACUUCCACAAACACCACAUGCCUGAUAGGCCCCAGGAAUAAAGAAUCAGUCUAAUGAGCAGCCAGAAAAUGCCAAUCUUGGAGUUAUAACCACACCGCUUUUACAUCUAACUUUGCCCCGUCCGUUGCAAUAAAUACUGGUCACACA